Cyprinus carpio (common carp) is the source of this 1625-nucleotide long non-coding RNA. RefSeq lists it as uncharacterized. Lineage: Eukaryota; Metazoa; Chordata; Actinopteri; Cypriniformes; Cyprinidae. The record is from RefSeq and is a predicted model, not a curated record. The transcript is spliced from 3 exons.
GCUCUUUAUAAAGGAAGUCACCCUCCCAAAUUUGGGGAAGGCAUCCCACAUGGCAGGAAUGCUAUUGCGUCUGAGCACAGUUAGGGUGCAAUGAGGAUAGUUAUGGGUAUUAGGGAGAAACAAGAACCUGCUAGAGACGCAAACAACAAUGUCAAAUGCCCUCUGAGUCUGCAUCUAUUUUAAGCAUCUUAGUCUGCGAGAUCAUCCAGGCAACAAGUGUCGAACAUCUUAGUCUGCGAGAUCAUCCAGGCAACAAGUGUCGAACAGCACACACAGUGGUCUUUUUCACAGGUUUCAUUCCUCAAAAUCAGUAAAAAAAAAAGAUAAUGGUAGUACAAUAAAAAAGAAAACUGGAGUCCCCUAGGUAAGGAACCGUGUAGACUGAGGUUAUUGCCAUGCCAUCCUUCAUUAUCAUCCAUCGCAAGCGUCUCCCACAACAACCCAUGCUGUUGACAACCCAUUGUUUCUUUGAGGACAAAGAUAACCCUGUGAAAUUCCUGCAGAGUGGAUCUUACUGACUGAGGAGUGAAAAUACACCAUACUGUGAGCCUCUGGACCUUACUUUAUGUCUCUGCCUGGGAUCAACUAUAGCCCCUCACCUGGCCAUUAUAGGUGUCUUUCCUCAUAAAUAAAACCAAGUGACAGGUCUACACAGAGACCCAUCAAUAUUUUAUGGUAUGCUAAAAUUCUUGUAAUGGUAUAGAGUCCUGUACUCAUGUUAAUUCUUUGUUUGAGGGUACACAUGUUGGUAUUUCCAUGCUGAUGUCCUUGGAAUUUGUUGCAACUGGGAGUGAUGAAUUGGGCACUAAUCCAUAGGCCUCAUGUGUGGACAUUCUGUUCAUAUAGUACACAUGAAUGCAGACAGAAACCCUGAAAUAGUGUUUAAAGGUAAGUACAAAAGUACAUAGUUAUAAUAAUAUUUUCAAGUUACUGUCAUCAAAAUGAAUAAUAGUUUAUUUUUUCUACAACUGUUUUUUCAUUUGUAGAGUAUUUGAAUAUGACUGAAUAUGAUUCAUUACAUAAAACUGGCAGACAAAACUGAAAGUGAGUUCCCUUGACAGUUACCAUACAGAAAGGGUCAACAGAUAAACAAGGAGUUAAGUGCCUAUGACAAGUGAUAAGACUGUUCUAUUCUGACACCCAGCCACAUCUUUUAAACGAUGACUGGCGUCAAAGUGCAAAAGGAAGUGAGAAAUGCCAAACCAUUGUUGAAGACUCAGUAAAGAUAACGAUGACAUCUCUUGUUUUCUAAAGUCAGAGCAGCACUUAACAUUACGAACAUCAUUCUCACACAGCAGAAUUGUGAGUGCAAGUGGGAAUAUUACAACCAUGACAUUUAUGAUAAAAAAAUACAAAUAAAAAAGGACCCCUGUGAGCACAAUAUAUACUCAGUGAGGCAGAGGACAAGACAAAAGCCUGUGAGAGAUCUGCCCUGAGGUGAGUUAUAUCUAGACGGCAUGGUUACAUCUUGACAUCAAGGUAGGAACCAUUGGGAGUCUAAUUGACACAAAAUAAAGAUUAUUUUAAAAAUAGCAAACUGGAAAAAUAAACUGGGACUGAUAUGUAUAAAACUAUCGUUUUACAAUAUGUAAGAAGUAUUUUCUUUAGCUUUUGUGUUUUUUUUG